Homo sapiens (human) is the source of this 2072-nucleotide long non-coding RNA. Ensembl annotates it as MIR9-2 host gene. Its record names the gene MIR9-2HG. Lineage: Eukaryota; Metazoa; Chordata; Mammalia; Primates; Hominidae. The record is from Ensembl.
UUCACUCUCCACUCCGAGGCUCAGGGAGCAAGUGCCUGGCAUGGGGGGUAAAAGUUGGCUUUUUUUUUACUCCUUGGUCUUUUGCGCCCUUCUCCCUCUCCCCAGAAGGGAAGACCCAUUUAAACUAUUUUAGACGCAAUCAACCAAGAAUCACCAUGUGGAAUUGAGCGGCAGUUUUAAAUGUGUUGAGCAGGGGAGAGGAAUGAUGAGAAAAACAUUUUUUUUUUUUUUUUUGGAGACGCCGAAAGAAGCCUGUUUGUGUGCUGCGGCCGUGCUGUGACUUUGGAUCUUGUCUUUCAGCCGGCGCCUCGGUUCCUGCCCAGCUGGAUUUGGGGGGCAGCAUUGCCUGGCGCAGGGAGAUCAAAUGAGACUGCAAAGAAGCAUAAAAUGAAUAGACAAUCCAACCAACCAAAGGAAAUUGCUUUGGAGAUGAGGAAACAAACUCUUAUGGAUUCUCUUCAGAGGACAAGAGAAGAUGUUACAUUCUCUGCAUGAGGACAAUUCUGCAGCAUCAAAAUCGAAUAAUAUUUGUUUUCUGGCAGCAGAAUUUUGUAUCAUAUUUCUAAAGACAGUAAGCACUUGGGUGGACGUCAAUGAAUACUAAACACUAAUUGAUCUGAUACAGCCGUAUGCACAUACACAGAUAUACAUGGUGGCUUGUAAUGGUUGAAAAAUUACGGUUUGGUUUUAUUAAAAGAUCUGUCACUUUUAGGUCAGAGUGGGAUUUUGGAGGGAUAGUCUCCCACAAUAGAAAACUACCCUGACAACAGUGGUGUUUUGAGGUUGUUUGUUGUUUGGCUUCUUGAUGAUGCUUAGCUAAGGAGACACUUCCUUUCAGAUUCUGUCUUCCAAACCCCAGGGCUCUGUUCUGGGCAGUUCAGCCUAAUGGAAUUAAGCCUGACAUGUUUCAACUCUAUUUCUUGAUAAAAUAAACAUAAAACAAUGGUUUAGAUUUCGAAUAAAACUCUUGAAGCAUGGGGUACUCUAACUUUCCCUGUUCUUUACACAUCUGUAAAUAAAGUGCAUAAAAGAGGAACACAACAGGAUAAAUCAACAUAAAUUUGAAAUCCACUGCAGCAUAUUAAAUGGCGCAGUCUCAGUCAAAGAGAGGCUGACCCCGCGGCUUCGUGCAGUUUGAAGCUAAUUGUUUUCGUCAGGAUGGGAACGUCUGGAAGUCCAUGGCUGUAUCCCACCAGUAAGGCUCCAGUAACUGAGCCGGCCCACAGAGAAUGGGCCCACUUUGUAGCGACACAGCGGGCUCAGACACCACCUAUUCUGCUCUCCAAACUGUCAUGCAUAACAACUUUAUUGUGCUAAAUUGAACUUGAAAGCAACCAAAGGCUAUGAGAAGGAGAGGCUAUGAGAAAAGCGUGCUGUCAGCGCCGGCAAAGGCUGACCUGGAAAGUAGGCUCAGAGACAGGGGAAUAAAAGACCAGGCCCCAUGAACACAGCAUAUUGUUUCAUUUUAAAGUAUGAUUCCCAUACCAGAGAAAGUAGCAAAUGUGAUGUAAAUUUAUUUAAAUAGAUUCGACCGCUUAAAAGUUUGCCAGCCGCUCUUAUCCAACUUUCCCAGCUCUCUGAUUCGUUACUUACAGUGGGAAUAUAAUGACAUAUAGUCAUCAUUGUAACAGCUUCUUUGCAGGGGCACAAUGAUGAUUAAUAGCCAGCAGCAAAUUUUCACAUGGGCUCUGAAGCACUAUGGCAUUAAGCAGCCAAACAGUCCCAAAUCCCCCUUUUCUGUUCCGCUGAAAAGUCCCCUCCUUGUACCUUCCAGAUAGGAACAAAGCCUAUCUUAAUUCCAAUCAGCUUUUCGUCAUUCAAAGGGACCUUCUCUUUUUCAUAAUUGAUUCAUGUGCAUUUUUUAGUGUUCCACUGAGCUGAAGCCACUUUUCUCCUUUCCUCUGUUCUGUCCCCACACCCACACCCCCUUUUUUUGAGGGGGUGAGGAGUGGGAAACAUUUCAACAACAACAACAACAGUAAAAAAUGGUGUGGUAGUUUCCCCCGCAAAUAUUUGCUAAAUAGAUUUCUCAAUUAGUAUUAGCUUUACACUUAAAAGUCUUAAAACAAAAA